GACGAACGCUGGCGGCGUGCUUAACACAUGCAAGUCGAACGGAAAGGCCCUGCUUGCAGGGUGCUCGAGUGGCGAACGGGUGAGUAACACGUGGGUGAUCUGCCCCUUACUUUGGGAUAAGCCUGGGAAACUGGGUCUAAUACUGGAUAGGACCAUGCUGUAGGUGGUGUGGUGGAAAGAUUAGUUUCGGUAAGGGAUGAGCUCGCGGCCUAUCAGCUUGUUGGUGGGGUAAUGGCCUACCAAGGCGUCGACGGGUAGCCGGCCUGAGAGGGUGGACGGCCGCAUUGGGACUGGGAUACGGCCCAGACUCCUACGGGAGGCAGCAGUGGGGAAUAUUGCACAAUGGGCGCAAGCCUGAUGCAGCGACGCCGCGUGGGGGAUGACGGCCUUCGGGUUGUAAACUCCUUUCAGCCAUGACGAAGCCCUUGUGGUGACGGUAGUGGUAGAAGAAGCACCGGCUAACUACGUG
RNAcentral lists this ribosomal RNA (469 nucleotides) under uncultured bacterium. Its description in RNAcentral is "partial 16S ribosomal RNA". It matches the Rfam family "Bacterial small subunit ribosomal RNA", at positions 28 to 507 of the family's 1533-position model. The record is from RNAcentral.